RNAcentral lists this ribosomal RNA (253 nucleotides) under uncultured bacterium. Its description in RNAcentral is "partial 16S ribosomal RNA". It matches the Rfam family "Bacterial small subunit ribosomal RNA", at positions 524 to 776 of the family's 1533-position model. The record is from RNAcentral.
UACGAGGGGUGCAAGCGUUGUUCGGAAUUACUGGGCGUAAAGCGUGAGGAGGCGGCUUGUUAAGUCUGAUGUGAAAGCCCCGGGCUCAACCCGGGAAGUGCAUUCGAUACUCCCAAGCUAGAGUAUCGGAGAGGUUGGUGGAAUUCUCGGUGUAGAGGUGAAAUUCGUAGAUAUCGAGAGGAACACCGGUGGCGAAGGCGGCCAACUGGACGAAUACUGACGCUGAGACUCGAAAGCGUGGGGAGCAAACAGG